GCGUUGAUAACUCAGUUGGGAGAGUGCCAGACUGAAGCAUACUUUAGUUCAAUAAUCUGGAAGUCACCGGUUCAAUCCCGGUUCGACGCA
This 90-nucleotide transfer RNA is filed under the name Pseudomassariella vexata. It matches the Rfam family "tRNA". Rfam says of the family: Transfer RNA (tRNA) molecules are approximately 80 nucleotides in length. Lineage: Eukaryota; Fungi; Ascomycota; Sordariomycetes; Amphisphaeriales; Pseudomassariaceae. The record is from Rfam by way of RNAcentral.